Long non-coding RNA from Mesocricetus auratus (golden hamster), 5208 nucleotides. RefSeq lists it as uncharacterized. The record is from RefSeq and is a predicted model, not a curated record. The transcript has 13 exons. Lineage: Eukaryota; Metazoa; Chordata; Mammalia; Rodentia; Cricetidae.
UGUUGUGUCCUUUAUUUUCUUUUUUUUUGGUUUUUAUGAGGCAGUGUUUCUCUGUAUUGUUUCAGAGGCUAUCAGUCCAAUAUAUAAACAGAAUCUCAUGAAUCCCAUUGGUAUUCCUGGGUACAUAAUAAUCUUUGGGUAUAAGGAAAGAGUUUCAAAUGAAGUUAAGAACCAUAAUGGAUUAUUAAUGUAGUGACAAUUUCAUCUAAGUUAUAUGGGGUCAUCACUCAAAUGACCUUUACUUUUUUACUUUAUGAGACAUGAUGAUUUUCUGGUUUGGCAAGUCUUGGAUCCCAACAGGUAGCUUUUAGUUUGGACAAGCUAUAAGAGCCACUAGUUUAUAUUUUUUCUUCCUCUUUUAUUGAAUUUAGAAACAAACUGCUUCCACAUGUCAAUCGCAGCUCCCUAUCCUUCCCCGCCUUCCCCCAUCAGGCCCUCCAACCCCCCCACCCAAUCUGCAUUCUGAUAUUCAGGGAGGGUGAGGUCCUCCAUUGAGGAUCUCCAGAGUUUGUCAUUUCAUCCAGGGCAGUGCCUAGCCACUUGUUUUUCUUAGUGAUACAGAGCUAAGCUGGAAACUACAUCUGUUGUGAGGAUUUAUGUGUCACUCCUUGGAAUCAACCAGGUCCAACGGUAAUAUACUGUACUCCUUUGUUACUCUCUUGGACUCCACUUGCAAAAAAACUCAAAAUUGGUUUCUUCUGCGUAUAUCUGUAGGUAUUUUGCGAUUACAUAUAUUCUAUUGAUGGGUGUAUCAUCUCUCAAAGCAUUUUAAUUUCAGUUAAAUACAUUCACAUAUAUCAUAUCUUUUGGGGGUAAAAUAAUAAUUUCAUUGUUAUUUUUAUCAUGGAAAGAGACAAGUAGAGUGAAGAUAAAGUGUGCAAAUUAUCUUUAUGGUUUGUAUUUGUAAGAGAGUAUGAUAGCUCAUGGUAGAGUAUGGCCAACAGAGAGAGUGAUGUGGUAUAGCGCUAACAUGAGGUCACAUGGACAAUGGCAAUGACUAGAGAAAUCUCUGGUCAACAGUCUCUUUUUCCUUGGUGGCAGGUACGUUUCACAGCUGCAUGACUGGUUUCUCCCUGGGAAUGCCACAUCGGUGACAGAAGUAUCUAUCCUGUAAUGUCUCAGAAGCCUGCUUAUGAUAAUCUCAGAGUCAAUCACAGAGAACUGCAUCUCCCCAAAUUCUGAGAAGCUUUCAUUGAAGAUACAGUGUCCACAAGUAGUUGGUGAGUCUGACAGUGCUGUUUAAUGUAGUUGCAUUCAAAAACUACCACCAUGCUUCCUUUCUGCAUCUUGAGAAGCUGAUAUUGUAGGAGACCUCUUCCCUGAGCUUAUGUGACCAAUGAAAGCAGAGGCUGAUACCCACAGAAAAACAAUGAAUUGAACUCCUGGAAUCCAGUGUCAGAAAGGGAGAACUGAUGGGCAAAUAGCUAAUACUGGGCUUGUUUAAUGCACAGAAACAGUUGACCUGAACAAGAGGGACUUCUUGGACCCCAGAUUGAUGGCUGUGUGGAGAGCAUGGGGCUGACCCAGAAUUCAUGAAGAAAUUUCCGCUAUUAUUUAAGGAUACUGAUGUAGGUGUUACAAACCUGCUCAUGGUAACCUCAGACUAAAGCACAGAUGAAAUGCUUCUCCCCAACCGCUGAGAAGGCUUCGUUGAAGACGUGCUCACCAUACCUAACUUGUAGUCUGUCAGUGCUGUUUAAUGAAGUUGCAUUCAAAACCUACAACCAUGCUUCCUUUCUGAUCCUGAGACAUCUUCCCUGAGCUUAUGAGUCUGACAGUAAUGCUUAAUGAAGUUGCAUUCAAAAACUACAACUAUGCUUCCUUUCUGCAUCUUGUGAAACUGGCAUUGGAGGAGACAUCUUCCCUGAGCUUCUGGUAUUGUAAAACCAACAUCCACAUUUUAUUUGGAUUGUUACAAACAGAUCUGCUGGAAAUCUCCAUAAUAACUGCAGAACUUGGAUUUCCAUCACUAUGUUUAGGAUGUCUCUCUUUAUUGGCACAAACCUAUUCCCUAUAUGAUGGUACACAACCAAUCACAGGAACCACAACUCAUGAAACCAGACAAUACUGCAAACAUAAUACAAAAUAAAGAAUACAUGUUGGGUAUGCUUCAUACCUCUGUGACUGUUUUCUACCUACAUGGAUCCUUCUGUGUUUACAGAGAAAUGUGACUUAUGAUGACUUUCAGCUCUGAGAGAUACAAUUGGUUUAGGUAAGAACUGUACCAAAAACAGUGUGAAGCUGUCAAUUCGGCAAUGGCUUCUCAUACAGCAGGCAUAUUGAACAAAAGACAUCAUUUGAAAAUUUCAUUUGUCAUUCUUUGUAGGCAUGGACGCUGAUAUUGUAAUAGGGCACAGUUUAGACCAAUAGUUCACAGCAGCCACUGGCACCUACAAAGCUGGACCCUGAUGGAGUCAUGUUGCUAUUAGUUCAGAUGUCUGUGGUAAUGAUCAGCAAGGAUUAAUCAACAUGAAAAUCUCUAGAGUUGCGGAAAAAUUCCAUGAUUCAUAUUUUUAAUUUUUUAUAGUGGCAUAUAUUUUACUAUGUUUAAUUAAAGAAAACACCCGAAUUCUUUGGCAUUUGUAUAUUUUUUCAUAUAGAGCAUGCGAGGAUGUGUUUACGGCUCCUUCUUUUUCCCCUCUGUCCCGUCAAAUGUCUCAUCUUAGAUAAAUCUGCUACACUAUAUUUUAGCAUGUAUCACUGCAGGUAGCUCUUUAGCUAGCAGAUACACCCUGUGAUGGUUUUUCCCUAUUCAGUUUGGCAUUUUUAAAAAAAAUUAAGAUACAAACAAUGAACCUUUAGAGUCGUAUAUAAAUCAUGCUUCCUCAUAGCAGGCAUUGUAUUCCUGUGUAUCUUAUGGCCUUUCUGCCACCUCUUCCAAAAUAUUAUCCAAGUGUUUUCUUUUUGUGUUUAUCAAUUGUUAUUGGUCAUAACAAGGUCUGUUGCAUUUUGACCAGUGGAUUAUUUUUGCCGUAUCCUUCUACUUGAAAAUAAAGCUACUUUGCUGAGGGGGAGUGCUACACAGAUCUGUGGGUAAAUGGAUAAAUAUUUUAAAUGCUUAUAUACAUUUUAUUGCCUUAUUUUUUCCAUUAAGUUUUCAUGUAUUAACAUGUUGGCUAACCAUAUUUGUGUUUGUCUUACUAUUUCUGUAGAAAUCAUAUGAUACUCUUUUCAACAAGACAUGCUUUAUAUUUCUUGCCAUAGAAUAACCUAUUGCUCCUUUUCUAUAGCAAUGCACGGAGGGCAAUGUCUGGUAAAUAUUCUUUGAUGUGGUAUCCACUAGUACCUUUAUUUUUUGACUCUUGGUUAAGUACAGAACCUUUUAGGAUCCUUCGUAUAUCUUUCUUUUAAAUUGAUAAAAUUCUAGUUCUAUGUAUGACUUGAUAUGUUGACUGUUUUCUUCUUCUUGGAUUCAUCUUUCUUAAUACAUAUAUUUUCAUACAUUUAUAUAAUUCACAUGUGGAUUUGAACUGCUGAAAAAACCUUACAUGCAAUAUAGUAAAUGUGAAUGCUCGGAGAGAAGUUUAGCUCACAUGUGAUGUAGAAUGUAGCACAGAUUCCUAUGUGCUGCUCAUCUUAAAUCAUAGUGGCUCACAGUAGGAAAACAUAGACACUUUCCUGAUUUUUAAUCUUUAGAAAAAUAAAUUGAACUUUGGAGUGACACUCAGAGAUAUGGCAGAAUAAUUACAUAGAAUUACAUAGAGUAUCCAUGUAUAUGAUAUUUUAAUUUUAUACAAUGGUCAGUCUUUAGGUCUUUGAAUUACAUUCAUUGUUCAACCAUAUAGACCUUGAAAUAUAUCCUAUGUGUAACUUUUUCUUUUUUAUUUUUAUUUUUACUUUUAUUUUUUUAUUUUAUUUUCCAGUUUAAAUUUAGAUAAGAAACAAGGUUGCUUCACAAGGUCAGAAUAUGCCUGGGUGGGAAGUUGGUUUAGGCACAAACACAAUUUUAAUUAUGAGCACCAGAGUUUAUUCCUAGAAUACAGAAGUAAACAUUCAUGGAUAGUUGUGGCUUUGCUAUCAAGUCCAUGAUGGUCAUUGACAGAAACAUCCGUAUUUGUUUCAAGAAAAGUAAGAUUAUGUUUUGAAAUUAAAUGUUAAUAAUUGUCUCUACUGGGCCAGAGGUAAUAGGUGUUAGAUCCCUCAACUUAUAACUCUAUGUACAAUACUUGCUUGGCCUAGGUCAAGCUAACAAAGUCUCAAUCCCAGCUCUCUCUCUCAUCCCUCCUCCAUUGUCCCUCCAUGUGCUGUGGUUAAAUGCAUAAAUCACCACUCCCUGGCUUGAAUAUGAAACUAUUAAUUUCAGGAGAGACUUGAGUAUUAUUGACUUUUGUAUUUUUAUAUUUUUUUGUUUAAUGUUUCUUAAGCCAAUAAAUUGUGACAUUAAACUAUAAAUGCAUGUUAUUAGUAAUUUUAAAUACAUGUUUAUAGCUUUAAGAAAACUGUGAUUUAUCCCUAUUAUGUUCAUUAAUUUAUAUCAUUUAUUUCUCUUACAGAGUCUGACAGUAAUGCUUAAUGAAGUUGCAUUCAAAAACUACAACUAUGCUUCCUUUCUGCAUCUUGUGAAACUGGCAUUGGAGGAGACAUCUUCUCUGAGCUUCUGGUAUUGUAAAAGCAACUUCCACAUUUUAUUUGGAUUGUUACAAACAGAUCUGCUGGAAAUCUCCAUAAUAACUGCAGAACUUGGAUUUCCAUCACUAUGUUUAGGAUGUCUCUCUUUAUUGGCACAAACCUAUUCCCUAUAUGAUGGUACACAACCAAUCACAGGAACCACAACUCAUGAAAACACACAAUACUACAAACAUAACACAAAAUAAAGAAUACAUGUUGGAUCCUGAUCUAAGAUCUCACAAGCCUGCUCAUGGGUCAUCUUAGACUAAAGCACCGAAGAAAAGCUUCUCCCCAACAUCUGACAAGGCAUCAUUGAAGACAUGCUCACCAUACUUGACUUGUCGUAUUGUAGAUCUUGUUUUUUCUUUUAUGUUCAUAUUGUAUUACUACUUUCUUUCUUACAACAUUCCAUUUGUACUGUUCUUUUUUUACUCCUGGGAAAGUUCAGAACCUUUAGGAUCGUGGGUAUUUAUUUAUUUUAAAUUGAUAAAAUUUGAAUUCUGUGUUUGAACUGAUUUGUUGAGACUCUUUUUCUUCUUAUUAAAUUAGUGUUUCUUUUUUUUUCGGUUUUUCAAGACAGGGUUUCUCUGUAUUGUUUUG